RNAcentral lists this ribosomal RNA (363 nucleotides) under uncultured bacterium. Its description in RNAcentral is "bacterial SSU rRNA". It matches the Rfam family "Bacterial small subunit ribosomal RNA", at positions 72 to 422 of the family's 1533-position model. The record is from RNAcentral.
AAGCCCCGCAAGGGGCCUGUAGCGUGGCAAACGGGUGAGUAACACGUGGGUGACCUGCCUUCGAGCGGGGGAUAACGUCCCGAAAGGGACGCUAAUACCGCAUGACAUCCUGCCUUUGAAGAGGCGGAGAUCAAAGCUGGGGAUCGCAAGACCUGGCACUUGAAGAGGGGCCCGCGCCUGAUUAGCUAGUUGGUGAGGUAACGGCUCACCAAGGCAACGAUCAGUAUCCGGCCUGAGAGGGCGGACGGACACACUGGGACUGAGACACGGCCCAGACUCCUACGGGAGGCAGCAGUGGGGAAUUGUUCGCAAUGGGCGCAAGCCUGACGACGCAACGCCGCGUGGAGGAUGAAGACCUUCGGG